UUUAGAGUAUGGAUCUCCGACCAUUGACCAAACUCCAGGUGAAACAACUGCCUAUUUAAACUUUCUCGGACUCGCUGCUGCUAGUACUCCCAGUCUGAUAGUCCUGGUGACCUGGGGGAGCUAAAGAGAAAUGCUGUGAAGUUAGCUGCUUCCUUGGGAUCUAGAACGCAUGGCCGGAUUGCAGCACUUACUGAACAAUGUUACGGGGAGAGAGAAAAAAAAGAUUGCAGCUUCUGAGAAACUGAUCGCAAUUCUUAAGGAAAGGAUCACUGAUCAGAGACUGAUGGAUCGCAUUACUAUAACUAUAACACAACGAAGUUGCAGUGCGAGAUUGUGCAGUGAUGUACUUCAACCGAGAUACUACAAUAGGGAACACUGAAAUCCACCGAAAUCCACGCAACAUAAGGCAUCAGAAGCCUAUUUAUUUAGUCAGAACUUGCAUGAGAAUCGCAUUGAGGUCAUUUUAAAAGAUGCUCAAUGCAAACCUUAGUGAAAACCAAUUCUCACCCAAAUGUCCACCAAAUAUAAUAGGAAAUCAGUUCUGGAGAAGCAUCAUCCCUGAAAGUAACCUAUCUUUUUGGAGAUGUUGACCUAACCUGGUGUGGGUUUGCAAAACAUUCUGGUUUUAUUUCAGAUUUCCAACAUUUGCAGUUUAUCUCUACUUAUUUAGAUUAGCCCGACUCUUGGAGUUGGUAAAGAAAGAGAGUUACACGAACAAAUAGUAGAUUAGCAUUUCUAAAGAUACAAAUUGGGACAACUAAUCUGCUGGGUAAGUGUGCAUUGUGUGCAAAAUAUACACUUCGACAAAAUGUCACUUGUUAUUAUAAAUGUAUCAUUUAAAUCUAAUCCCAACUGAUUUAACUCAUAUUGACCUACCCACAAACAGCAAAUGUUACAAUCCAGCCAAACUAGGGAGUACUCUCCUUCACCUGUGGAAGCAGUGAGCAUUCUCUUGUCUGAAAUAGACUAUCUAAGAAAAAACACCCCACCCCACCCUGCCAAAGGCGAUGUCUCUCAAUAUUUUACACCACACCCGGCAAUUGUACCUAUAACAGAAUACAACAACAACUUUCAUUUAUAUAGUGCCCCUCACGCAGAGUAGUGUCCCAGACCGCUUACCUUUCAUGGAUGCCUUUUAUGGAACUGUUUCCAUUCCUUACGUAAGAUAUAACAACACAGUGUUACAAAAUCUGUUUCAUCCAUCCAUACAUUGCAGAAAAUCACACUCCAAGCAAAUAUUUCCUUAACAGAAGUCACAUUGCAUUUCUAACAACAGAACAACUACAAGACCAGAGAUUCUUAAGAUGCUUGAAGGGCUGUUUUGAUGGCACUUCAUGCUCUGCAAUCCUCUCAGUGUAUCAGCUUCUCUUUUAUUUAAUUCUUUGCAUGCUUCUAAGUGUAUUUACUUCUGUUCAUCAAUAUAAAAGCAAAUUCCAGCUACAAGUCAAGAAUAGCUAGGGUGAAUUCCAGUGAGUAAGCACGAAGCCUAAACUACAAUUUCUGUUCUGCUCUGCAUUGUUGUUGAAAAAUCCCAGACACUGCAUUGAAUGUUUGUUUUGUAAUUUUAUUAAACAGCCACUUAAGGGGCCCUAAAAUAA
Callorhinchus milii (elephant shark) is the source of this 1598-nucleotide long non-coding RNA. RefSeq lists it as uncharacterized. The transcript has 2 exons. Lineage: Eukaryota; Metazoa; Chordata; Chondrichthyes; Chimaeriformes; Callorhinchidae. The record is from RefSeq and is a predicted model, not a curated record.